UUUCGGCGGCCAUAGCGUGAGGGAAACGCCCGGUCACAUUCCGAACCCGGAAGCUAAGCCUCACAGCGCCGAUGGUACUGCAGGGGGGACCCUGUGGGAGAGUAGGACACCGCCGGACUU
This 120-nucleotide ribosomal RNA is filed under the name Microbacterium hydrocarbonoxydans. Lineage: Bacteria; Bacillati; Actinomycetota; Actinomycetes; Micrococcales; Microbacteriaceae. The record is from RNAcentral.